RNAcentral lists this long non-coding RNA (785 nucleotides) under Chloebia gouldiae (Gouldian finch). Its description in RNAcentral is "Erythrura gouldiae (Gouldian finch) lncRNA (ENSEGOG00005001033.1)". The record is from RNAcentral. Lineage: Eukaryota; Metazoa; Chordata; Aves; Passeriformes; Passeridae.
GCCGCUAGCAAGAAACGCACCUUGGUGUGUGUGUGUGAAGUGGCCACCACACGCUCCCCGUGCCCUUUGAUGCCGGGAAAGAAUGCUCUGCUUUCCGAACCAAAGGCACUCGGUUUUGCCUGUGGGCUAUGCGGAAAUUUGAGAAGGUGGAAGCAAGAAACAACUUGCUCUGUCAGGGAGGAAAAGCAGUCUGCAGCUAUUUACACUGCACACUGCAGCUUUUAAGCGAGGCGGCCGGAGUGCCUGCAAUGGUCAAAGCCCAAGUUUCUUUCCGCAGGGCUGCUGCUUGCCCUGCUGUGCUGCCCACCAGCAGCUGCCUUCUGCCCCUCUCUGUUGCAGCAGGCUGAUACGAGCGGUCUCGGCGAGGCAUGACGAGGGAAACUGUUUCCUGUUUGUGUCUGUGAUGGACGUAACAGCCACUUUUACUACACGUGAGGCAUCGGGGGGUUUGUUCCUUCUUUCUCCAGCACCUUCUGGGUUCUGGUGGUCUAAGGGGAGCCAGCCUCAGGAGUUCCCUGAAGAGAGCCACAGAGGGAGGGUGCUGCUCCCAGCCUGGUCCCCCUGCGCAGAGGGGCUCUGGGCUGGGUGCCCCUUCAGCUGCAGGGCUGCUGCUGCCUGCAGCUGGGGCAGAUGCUGGCCCAGCCCCAGACGGAGAGAACACUGGAUAUCGAUUACUGCUCCUGCAGACAAAUUUACAUAUAAAAGCCGAACGUGAGAGAUAACUAACAGAUAAGCCUGCCAUUUUCCAGGUGCUGGAAAACCUGACUGCCUUCUUUUUACAAACA